RNAcentral lists this ribosomal RNA (454 nucleotides) under uncultured Desulfotomaculum sp. RNAcentral describes it as "bacterial SSU rRNA". It matches the Rfam family "Bacterial small subunit ribosomal RNA", at positions 925 to 1382 of the family's 1533-position model. Lineage: Bacteria; Bacillati; Bacillota; Clostridia; Eubacteriales; Desulfotomaculaceae. The record is from RNAcentral.
ACAAGCAGCGGAGCAUGUGGCUUAAUUCGACGCAACGCGAAGAACCUUACCAGGGCUUGACAUGCAGGGAAAGCGGCGGAAACGUCGUGUCCGCAAGGGCCCUGCACAGGUGGUGCAUGGCUGUCGUCAGCUCGUGUCGUGAGAUGUUGGGUUAAGUCCCGCAACGAGCGCAACCCUUACGGUUAGUUGCCAGCGGGUUAUGCCGGGCACUCUAGCUGAACUGCCGUUGACAAAACGGAGGAAGGUGGGGAUGACGUCAAAUCAUCAUGCCCUUUAUGUCCUGGGCUACACACGUGCUACAAUGGCCUGUACAGAGGGAAGCGAAAGGGUGACCUGGAGCGAAUCCCAAAAAGCAGGUCUCAGUUCGGAUUGCAGGCUGCAACCCGCCUGCAUGAAGUCGGAAUCGCUAGUAAUCGCGGAUCAGCACGCCGCGGUGAAUACGUUCCCGGGCCUU